RNAcentral lists this ribosomal RNA (2679 nucleotides) under Triticum aestivum (bread wheat). Its description in RNAcentral is "partial small subunit ribosomal RNA". Lineage: Eukaryota; Viridiplantae; Streptophyta; Magnoliopsida; Poales; Poaceae. The record is from RNAcentral.
AUGCCUGAGAGUGAGUUCCACCUGCGCAUGCGCUUGCUGCUCGAGCUGACGCAGGUGGGAACCGUGGCUGAGUACACGACGUUGUUCUGGGAGCGUCUACACCAUGUGUUGCAUCUUGACUCCAGUCUAAGCAUCAAGAGCUUUGUCCACCCAUACAUCGAUGGCUUGCGCAAGGAUAUUCAGGUAGUUGUGCACUCCCAAUCGCCAUCUAGCAUCACCAGAGCGUCCUGCCUUGCUAGAAUUAGGGAGGAAGAGAUCAUGAAGGAUGAGGCCAUGGCUGUCGAGGAGCAUGGCAAUGGCUACGACCAUGGAGUUCAUGGUCUCAUGCCUACUGAGACCCUCUGCAUCGUCUCCACCAAGCUCGAGGUCCUAGUGUUGUGCAGUGCAGAUCGCGGCGUCGACGCCAGCAGCCUUGCUGCUCCAACACCGAUCAUGUGCUCAACGGAUUACCCAAGUCGUGGCGCCACCAUCGACAUCUCCCCUGAUCUUGCAACCUCUGCUAUGUGUGGCGAAGCUCUCGACACCAAUACCUUUAGUGUCGCCACACCAACCCCGUGGUGGCGACCGAUUCCUUCCCUCAAGUUCGUCAUGACGACGCCCACCAGGUUUUUGUUGAAAGGCUUUGUGUUUACGGACGUGUUCAUGUCAGGUGUGACACCAGGUUUGAAGCCACAAGGGACGGUGGUCCGGCCGGCACCAUGGCCCUCUUUCCUUGACAAGGACAGCAGUACAGCUCGUGGCGGCAUCAUCGAGCCACCACCGAGCGCCGCCACGGUGUUAAUCAGGGAGGUGGCUCCCUGUGUGAAUUGGCAAGGAAUGAUGACAGAGGAUAUUUACAGUGCAAAGGUGUGCCGCGGGAAGCUCUCUUUCUGGCCUCGACUGCACUCACAUAAAACAACCCCUCAAUCUCUUAGGCAAGCAGGAGACAUCAACCGCAGCAAGUCAAGCCUUGGGAACAUCGACUGGUAUUGGUGGCUUAUUUUCAAUGAGUCCUUGGAAGUAAUGUAUGCUCUAGCAGAAUCAGAGGUGCGGCACUUAAGGCGUAAUCCCUCCAACUCUCCUUGGUGUUUGGUGGACGUGUUCUGGAGGUUCCAGAACUACUGGUCUGAUCCUCAAAAUGUACGGUUAGCUGAUGUGAGUUUUGAAGCUCUAUUUUCUGCUGGACAACACAACACUGGACUCCCUUUGCAAGUCUUGGGUGUUGGUUCAAUUCUGAACAUAUUGUUCAGUGAAGCUGCACCUAGUUCACUAAUGACAGAGUGCCAGGUGGAUGGAUGUCUAUGGAGAGCACAAUAUGUACCUUGUUGUAUCUUGGGGAAAUCCAUCGAAGAGAAGCAUUUGCAUAUUUGUGCAGCAGCUAAUCAGGCCCUAAUAUUAUGCAGAGCAGAAGUGGAACUCUUUAGCGAAGCCUAUCGCCCUUCAACUAUUUUUGCCCACAGCACAGUGUGGGAAAAGCCAACUUGCAGUAAAAUCAUUGCAUCUUCUGUGUUUACUUGGCGGUUCAGUGCUACAGAUGUUCUUUGCUAUAAGUCGAUGCAGUCUUCGUGUAAGGUAGACAGUGCCAUUGUUCAUAAUUCCUCAUGGAAAACCAGUGGUCGCUGUGAAGGCAUGCCUUUAUAUUGGUGGUCUCUUCAAAAUGAAUUUUCCACACUAUUUUCUGCAACUAAAGCGAGCGUGCUGCACCACAUUGAUUGGUGGUCUGAUUUUAAAUUUGUACAUCAAGCUCAUGCUAUUGGUCAUGCUACUUUGCAUUUGGGAUCUGCAAAACAGAUGGAUACUAGGAUCCCUGAAGCUCUUAGAACACUCUAUGUUCCAGUUACUAUGCAGCCUGAAGCUCUCAGGACACUCAAUGUUAUUCAGUUGGAUAAUGGAAUUUUAAGCAUUACAGUCCAAGGGCAGUUGAAGAAUCCCUUUAUUGUUCAUGCGCAUAAUCUUGGUAAACUGAAAAUGGAUGCUUACCCCUGCUGUAUUCUCGCGAGCUCUGUUCCAGAAUUAAACCAUGCUAGUGUCCAUGCCUUUGAUUCUAAGCCAGUUCUGCAAACAAAAUGUGCAACCAUAGUGUCUUGGGGGCUUACAGCUCAAGAGAUAUACUCUCUAUGUCACACGGCAAGACUCAGUUACAAGAUGUGGCACAUACAGCUUGAUGGAAAUAUAUCUUUUGGUGGUGAAGCUAAUGUUUAUCUUUCACUGGAGUGGCUCAAGCUACCGGUGGUGGAACUUCAGUUCUCCACUCCGGGUGGCUAUCUUUUUGGUUAUAAAUAUUUUCCUAUGGAUCUGGAGUUGCCUUUUGAUCCAGGAGACCAUAAGUUACAACAGGUUCUUCUUAAAAUUAGUGGUGUAUCCAUUGGAUAUAUACAUCUGCACGAGAAUAGAGGAGCUUUGCCAUAUCAUUUGCCCUGGUGGUGUACAACGCUAUAUUUCACGAUGGAAGUUAUGCAAGUUGACAGUGGGUGUUUUUAUCUGGUUGUAUGGCUCCUCGGCAUCAUUGGAGAGUUUGAUCUCACCACAUUAUGGUGUUUAUUGGAGGACAAAAUGUCAAGAAGGGUGACUACAACUGAUAAGAAAGUAAGCAAAGUGGUUGGUUAUUAUAUUCUUGCUGUUUUUGAUGUUCUGAGUGAUGGGACAAUAUUCCAAUCUCGGAAAGCAUUGUACAUGUUGCCUGAACCCAGCCCUAGGUGA